GAGAAACACCGCACAACACGUUUGCGGCUAUGCCAACUUCACUUCCGAGCAGUUCCUAUCCACUACCACCAAGUGGAUGAGUACAUGCCCGAUUUUGACCAAAAAUAUGCAGAAAGAAGACACGAGAUGUUAGUACAGGACGUAGAGUGUUGAAAAAAAUGCUAUUCCAAUACCUGCAAGUAAAUCUGAAAAGUGUAAACAGAGGGAGGCUGCAAAUAUUAAAAGAGCAGAGAGAUGUGCUAGAAGAAGUCUGAAAGAAGAAUCUCGUAAAGUAAAAUCAACUAUGCAAAUUCAAGAAAACACAAACAUACCAAACAUUGGACCAGGCGUAUCUAAACAUGGAGUAUCUGAGAAAAUUCAACGUGAUGGGGAUUGUAGCGAACAAAUAUUUAUAGUUAAUGAAUCAAAUGUAGAUGAUCUGCUAAAUUCAGUUAUUAGUCCACCAAAAAAUUCAAAAGUAGUCGUUGAUGAGCCAGAGUACCAUGAUGAUGGGUGUGAUGAUUUACAGAAACGAAUAGAUGCUUUGGAUAUACAAAGUAAAACACAAGAGUUUACUGAAACUGUUUGUCAAGACGAAGCUGGUAAAAGAAAUGAGAUGAAUGAUAAAAGUGUGCAAGUCAAUACAGACAAUUUUAUUCUUACUUUG
Molecule: long non-coding RNA, 646 nt
Organism: Belonocnema kinseyi
Lineage: Eukaryota; Metazoa; Arthropoda; Insecta; Hymenoptera; Cynipidae
Exons: 3
Source: RefSeq, a predicted model, not a curated record